UUGAUCCUGGCUCAGGAUGAACGCUGGCGGUCUGCUUAACACAUGCAAGUCGAACGCAACCUUCGGGUUGAGUGGCGGACGGGUGAGUAACGCGUGAGAAUCUGCCUUGGGGUCGGGGACGACCACUGGAAACGGUGGCUAAUACCGGAUAAGCCUUUGGGUAAAAAGUUUAUUGCCCCAAGAGGAGCUCGCGUCUGAUUAGCUAGUUGGUGAGGUAAAAGCUCACCAAGGCAGCGAUCAGUAGCUGGUCUGAGAGGACGAUCAGCCACACUGGGACUGAGACACGGCCCAGACUCCUACGGGAAGCAGCAGUGGGGAAUUUUCCGCAAUGGGCGAAAGCCUGACGGAGCAAGACCGCGUGAGGGAGGAAGGCUCUUGGGUUGUAAACCUCUUUUCUCAGGGAAGAAGCUCUGACGGUACCCGAGGAAUCAGCCUCGGCUAACUCCGUGCCAGCAGCCGCGGUAAUACGGAGGAGGCAAGCGUUAUCCGGAAUUAUUGGGCGUAAAGCGUCCGCAGGUGGCGAUUCAAGUCUGCUGUCAAAGCACGGGGCUUAACUCCGUUAAGGCAGUGGAAACUGAAUAGCUAGAGUGCCGUAGGGGUAGAGGGAAUUCCCGGUGUAGCGGUGAAAUGCGUAGAGAUCGGGAAGAACAUCGGUGGCGAAAGCGCUCUACUGGACGGCAACUGACACUCAGGGACGAAAGCUAGGGGAGCGAAUGGGAUUAGAUACCCCAGUAGUCCUAGCUGUAAACGAUGGAUACUAGGUGUAGCUUGUAUCGACCCGAGCUGUGCCGAAGCUAACGCGUUAAGUAUCCCGCCUGGGGAGUACGCACGCAAGUGUGAAACUCCAAGGAAUUGACGGGGGCCCGNACAAGCGGUGGAGUAUGUGGUUCAAUUCGAUGCAAC
RNAcentral lists this ribosomal RNA (903 nucleotides) under uncultured organism. RNAcentral's name for it is "bacterial SSU rRNA". It matches the Rfam family "Bacterial small subunit ribosomal RNA", at positions 13 to 960 of the family's 1533-position model. The record is from RNAcentral.